GGAGGGUGCGAGCGUUGCUCGGAAUUACUGGGCGUAAAGCGUACGCAGGCUGUUCUGUAAGUCGGGUGUGAAAGCCCGGGGCUCAACCCCGGAAUUGCGCCCGAGACUGCAGGGCUUGAAUGCGGGAGAGGGAAGCGGAAUUCCUGGUGUAGAGGUGAAAUUCGUAGAUAUCAGGAGGAACACCGGUGGCGAAAGCGGCUUCCUGGCCCGACAUUGACGCUCAUGUACGAGAGCGUGGGGAGCAAACAGGAUUAGAUACCCUGGUAGUCCACGCUGUAAACGAUGAGUGCUAGCUGCUGGGAAUGUCUACCGUCUCAGUGGCGAAGCUAACGCAUUAAGCACUCCGCCUGGGAAGUACGGCCGCAAGGCUA
RNAcentral lists this ribosomal RNA (371 nucleotides) under uncultured bacterium. RNAcentral describes it as "bacterial SSU rRNA". It matches the Rfam family "Bacterial small subunit ribosomal RNA", at positions 527 to 896 of the family's 1533-position model. The record is from RNAcentral.